GGGGCCUCGGGACGCAGCAGUGGGGAAUAUUGCACAAUGGGGGAAACCCUGAUGCAGCGACGCCGCGUGAGUGAAGAAGUAUUUCGGUAUGUAAAGCUCUAUCAGCAGGGAAGAAGAAAGACGGUACCUGACUAAGAAGCCCCGGCUAACUACGUGCCAGCAGCCGCGGUAAUACGUAGGGGGCAAGCGUUAUCCGGAUUCACUGGGCGUAAAGGGAGCGCAGGCGGCAUGGCAAGUCUGAUGUGAAAACCCGGGGCCCAACCCCGGGAGUGCAUUGGAAACUGCCAGGCUGGAGUGUCGGAGGG
Molecule: ribosomal RNA, 305 nt
Filed under: uncultured bacterium
Lineage: Bacteria
Description: bacterial SSU rRNA
Rfam family: Bacterial small subunit ribosomal RNA
Source: RNAcentral